Molecule: ribosomal RNA, 266 nt
Filed under: uncultured archaeon
Lineage: Archaea
Description: partial 16S ribosomal RNA
Rfam family: Archaeal small subunit ribosomal RNA
Source: RNAcentral
ACACGACUACAUUAGAUACCCCCGUAGUCCAGGGUGUAAACGCUGCGGGCUUGGUGUUGGGGGGUCCUUUGAGGGCGCCCAGUGCCGGAGAGAAGUUGUUAAGCCUGCUGCUUGGGGAGUACGUCCGCAAGGAUGAAACUUAAAGGAAUUGGCGGGGGAGCACCGCAACGGGAGGAGCGUGCGGUUCAAUUGGAUUCAACGCCGGACAACUCACCAGGAGCGACGGUUACAUGAAGGCCAGGCUGAUGACCUUGCCUGAUUUUCCG